UUGCACUCAACUGGAAAGAGGAGUGGCGGACGGGUGAGUAACACGUGGUAACCUACCCAUCAGAGGGGGAUAACACUUGGAAACAGGUGCUAAUACCGCAUAACAGUUUAUGCCGCAUGGCAUAAGAGUGAAAGGCGCUUUCGGGUGUCGCUGAUGGAUGGACCCGCGGUGCAUUAGCUAGUUGGUGAGGUAACGGCUCACCAAGGCCACGAUGCAUAGCCGACCUGAGAGGGUGAUCGGCCACACUGGGACUGAGACACGGCCCAGACUCCUACGGGAGGCAGCAGUAGGGAAUCUUCGGCAAUGGACGAAAGUCUGACCGAGCAACGCCGCGUGAGUGAAGAAGGUUUUCGGAUCGUAAAACUCUGUUGUUAGAGAAGAACAAGGACGUUAGUAACUGAACGUCCCCUGACGGUAUCUAACCAGAAAGCCACGGCUAACUACGUGCCAGCAGCCGCGGUAAUACGUAGGUGGCAAGCGUUGUCCGGAUUUAUUGGGCGUAAAGCGAGCGCAGGCGGUUUCUUAAGUCUGAUGUGAAAGCCCCCGGCUCAACCGGGGAGGGUCAUUGGAAACUGGGAGACUUGAGUGCAGAAGAGGAGAGUGGAAUUCCAUGUGUAGCGGUGAAAUGCGUAGAUAUAUGGAGGAACACCAGUGGCGAAGGCGGCUCUCUGGUCUGUAACUGAC
Molecule: ribosomal RNA, 684 nt
Filed under: uncultured Bacilli bacterium
Lineage: Bacteria; Bacillati; Bacillota; Bacilli
Description: bacterial SSU rRNA
Rfam family: Bacterial small subunit ribosomal RNA
Source: RNAcentral